UACGGAGGGGACUAGCGUUGUUCGGAAUUACUGGGCGUAAAGCGCACGUAGGCGGAUUUGUAAGUCAGGGGUGAAAUCCCGGGGCUCAACCUCGGAACUGCCUUUGAUACUGCAAAUCUCGAGUCCGGAAGAGGUGAGUGGAAUUCCUAGUGUAGAGGUGAAAUUCGUAGAUAUUAGGAAGAACACCAGUGGCGAAGGCGGCUUGCCAGAAUGCGCUCGACGGUGAGGGAUGAAAGCUGGGGGAGCAAACCGG
RNAcentral lists this ribosomal RNA (253 nucleotides) under uncultured bacterium. Its description in RNAcentral is "partial 16S ribosomal RNA". It matches the Rfam family "Bacterial small subunit ribosomal RNA", at positions 524 to 776 of the family's 1533-position model. The record is from RNAcentral.